This 72-nucleotide small RNA is filed under the name Xanthomonas hortorum. RNAcentral's name for it is "sX9 sRNA". It matches the Rfam family "Xanthomonas sRNA sX9". The record is from RNAcentral. Lineage: Bacteria; Pseudomonadati; Pseudomonadota; Gammaproteobacteria; Lysobacterales; Lysobacteraceae. RNAcentral also lists the same sequence under 12 other names.
AUGCACGGUUCAUUUCGGUUCCUGUGCGCCGUCCGCACCCACCUGACGGCCGCUCGCUACGUUCUGUUAUCC